UGUAAUUCAAAACAAAGGGGUCAAAUAAUCCGUACUUUGGACAUGGUUUCACAAGUUAUACCUUGCAUCUUCUUAAGUUUCAUUGGAAAGGUAGGACAGAUUGCUUUGAUACAGACAAAACAGAACCAUGUUUAAGUCUCUUAUACACAUAUAUGUUUCUAUAUACCGGUUUAUGUACUAAAUAUGCCGUUUUUAAUUCAAGUUUAGUUUCAGUAUUAGUUAAGUUCUCUACCACUCCUACUCUAAGAUGUGUAUACAAUUAGUUGGGUUAGCCAACGCCAAGCAAAUGUGCUAGCGAAGCAUUUCAUCAAGAAUUCGGUCUUCGUUGGGGACAAAAAAUGUUCUGAAAGGCCAUAUUGCAGUAUAUGUGGGGGAAACCAGCAAGAGCAGAUUCAUGAUUCCUAUUUCUGACUUGAAUCAUCUUCUAUUUGAAGGCCUAUUAAAUCUGGCUGAGGCAGAAUUCCCAAGUGCCACAAAGUAUGAAGUAGGCUCUCCUACUUUGAGGAGACCUUAGGCAAGCGCCCUUCCCAAGUGCAAUAGAAGUCACUUACCUAGGCCAUCGGCCAUGAUGAUCACCUAUCGACCCUGUCCAGAAAUGUUGGGGUUAAGAGUAAUUUAUCCGGAUAAAAUAUGAAGCUCUAUUAGAAGCUAAAGCAACAAAGCAAUAAAUCGGGAUGAGGAAUAAAAGAAGUUUGAACUUCAAAGACUUGAGACUUGCAGAGAGAAACUACCAACAAAGCAGAAAUUUGUUUAGAAGAAAUGAAUUUUUCCUUAUUUUUCAUUUCAUUCAGCUAAAUUAUGUGAUACAAUAGAAUAAGACAGUUACCUAA
This is a long non-coding RNA of Gossypium arboreum, 830 nucleotides long. RefSeq lists it as uncharacterized. The record is from RefSeq and is a predicted model, not a curated record. The transcript has 2 exons. Lineage: Eukaryota; Viridiplantae; Streptophyta; Magnoliopsida; Malvales; Malvaceae.